RNAcentral lists this ribosomal RNA (460 nucleotides) under uncultured bacterium. RNAcentral describes it as "partial 16S ribosomal RNA". It matches the Rfam family "Bacterial small subunit ribosomal RNA", at positions 338 to 795 of the family's 1533-position model. The record is from RNAcentral.
CCUACGGGGUGCAGCAGUGAGGAAUAUUGGUCAAUGGACGAGAGUCUGAACCAGCCAAGUAGCGUGAAGGAUGACUGCCCUAUGGGUUGUAAACUUCUUUUAUAUGGGAAUAAAAUGUUCCACGUGUGGGAUUUUGUAUGUACCUUAUGAAUAAGGAUCGGCUAACUCCGUGCCAGCAGCCGCGGUAAUACGGAGGAUCCGAGCGUUAUCCGGAUUUAUUGGGUUUAAAGGGAGCGUAGGUGGAUUGUUAAGUCAGUUGUGAAAGUUUGCGGCUCAACCGUAAAAUUGCAGUUGAAACUGGCAGUCUUGAGUACAGUAGAGGUGGGCGGAAUGCGUGGUGUAGCGGUGAAAUGCUUAGAUAUCACGAAGAACUCCGAUUGCGAAGGCAGUUCACUGGACUGCAACUGACACUGAGGCUCGAAAGUGUGGGUAUCAAACAGGAUUAGAUACCCGAGUAGUC